Molecule: ribosomal RNA, 351 nt
Filed under: Streptococcus mitis
Lineage: Bacteria; Bacillati; Bacillota; Bacilli; Lactobacillales; Streptococcaceae
Description: bacterial SSU rRNA
Rfam family: Bacterial small subunit ribosomal RNA
Source: RNAcentral
GACGAACGCUGGCGGCGUGCCUAAUACAUGCAAGUAGAACGCUGAAGGAAGGAGCUUGCUCUUUCCGGAUGAGUUGCGAACGGGUGAGUAACGCGUAGGUAACCUGCCUGGUAGCGGGGGAUAACUAUUGGAAACGAUAGCUAAUACCGCAUAAGAGUAGAUGUCGCAUGACAUUUGCUUAAAAGGUGCAAUUGCAUCACUACCAGAUGGACCUGCGUUGUAUUAGCUAGUUGGUGGGGUAACGGCUCACCAAGGCGACGAUACAUAGCCGACCUGAGAGGGUGAUCGGCCACACUGGGACUGAGACACGGCCCAGACUCCUACGGGAGGCAGCAGUAGGGAAUUUUGGCA